AGAUGUCAAAAAUCCGAUGUUUUGGUUGCAGACUUUUUUUUAAAACCUUGUUCAUUACAUAUAUGAUACAACAAUCUUAAGUUAUGGCUGAUCAUAUUGCUUUAGGACAUAAGGGUAUUUAGCUUCCCCCAAUUGCAAUGAGUGCCUUAGGAAGCAAGAUAUGCUUGUUUUCCUUGAUGAAAGACAAAAUUGGCAUGAACUCUAUCCACCAGAGCAGAGAGAAGUAAUCAGUGCCCCAUUUAAAGUACCGAAAUAGCAGGUCUUCCAAAACCUUUUCGAAAUAUUCCUCGGCUAAAGUUUGUUGGUGACAUAUCCAAAUUCCUGGCCAUGUUUUCACAGUUUCUUUUAUUCCGUGCAAGAGAAAG
RNAcentral lists this long non-coding RNA (365 nucleotides) under Trifolium pratense (red clover). RNAcentral describes it as "long non-coding RNA (TPRA_LNC007014)". Lineage: Eukaryota; Viridiplantae; Streptophyta; Magnoliopsida; Fabales; Fabaceae. The record is from RNAcentral.